AUACGGAGGAUCCGAGCGUUAUCCGGAUUUAUUGGGUUUAAAGGGUGCGCAGGCGGGAGAUUAAGUCGGCGGUGAAAUUUUGCAGCUCAACUGUAAAAGUGCCUUCGAAACUGGUUUCCUUGAGUGUAGAUGAAGUAGGCGGAAUUUGUGGUGUAGCGGUGAAAUGCAUAGAUAUCACGAGGAACUCCGAUUGCACAGGCAGCUUACUAAACUACUACUGACGCUCAGGCACGAAGGCGUGGGGAUCAAACAGGAUUAGAUACCCUGGUAGUCCACGCAGUAAACGAUGAUUACUAGCUGUUUGCGAUACAAUGUAAGCGGCUGAGCGAAAGCGUUAAGUAAUCCACCUGGGGAGUACGUUCGCAAGAAUGAAACUCAAAUGAAUUGACGGGG
This 393-nucleotide ribosomal RNA is filed under the name uncultured bacterium. RNAcentral describes it as "partial 16S ribosomal RNA". It matches the Rfam family "Bacterial small subunit ribosomal RNA", at positions 523 to 918 of the family's 1533-position model. The record is from RNAcentral.